Molecule: transfer RNA, 85 nt
Organism: Felis catus (domestic cat)
Lineage: Eukaryota; Metazoa; Chordata; Mammalia; Carnivora; Felidae
Rfam family: tRNA
About the family: Transfer RNA (tRNA) molecules are approximately 80 nucleotides in length. Their secondary structure includes four short double-helical elements and three loops (D, anti-codon, and T loops).
Source: Rfam
GCCUGGGUGGCUCAUUCGGUUAAGCGUCUGACUCAGGCUCAGAUCAUGAUCUUACAGUUGGUGAGUUCGAGCCCCACAUCAGGCU